CCUCCAUAUGCUGUGAGAGCGGCCCUAGAAAAGGCAAAAAGACAAAAACAAACAAACAAAAGAAUGAAGUAAUGUCAUUUGUAGCAACAUGGAUGGACUUAAAAAUGAUCAUAUUAAGUGAAGUAAGUCAGAAAGAGAACGACAAAUACUGUAUGAUGUCACUUAUAUAUGGAAUCUAAAAUACAACACAAAUGACUCACAGACAUAAAGAAGAGACUUGCGGUUGCCAAAGGGGAGGGGAGAGGGGAGGAAAUGAUGGAGAGUUUGCCAUUAGCAGAUGCCAACUAUUGUAGAGAAUGGAUAAACAACAAGGUCCUGUGGUAGCACCGGGAACCAUAUUCAAUAUCCUAUUAUAAACCUAGUGGAAAAGAAUAUGAAAAAGAAUAUGUGUGUGUGUGUGUGUGUGUGUACACAUAUAUGUAUAACUGAAUCACUUUGCUGUAUAGCAGAGAUUAAUGCCACAUUCUAAAUUAACUGUACUUCAAUAAAAGAAAAAUGAAAAGAAACGCUUGUCAGUGUCAAGGGGCAUUUUGGCAGUCCACAUUGGCCUGUGGAUCAGCCAUGUAGUUUGCCUUCUGACAUAUGCUGUGAGUUUGAGAAAGAAAAAGAUAUUAGAAGAGAUUAUAUCUGCAGAUACUAAGAAAUAAAAGAUUAAGAUCCAAGGUCCUUAGGCGCUCACACCGCUUUGGUAAAGGGCUUGUGAGCUGGAAGGCACUCUUCACCCACUCUCCACUGAGCGGUCCCUCUGACCCCCAGAGGGGGCAGUGCCAGGAUUCGCUCCUCCUCAGGGUACUGCCUCAGUACCCAACUUUACGUGUCAUCCUGAGACUUCAGUGCAGAGGUGAUCUUAGUAUUUUGGAAGAUUGCUUUCUGUAAUGAGAUGUUCACAUGGGACCUUUUGUGAGUUAGCUUCAGAAUGUAAAGUGCUAACUUCUUCUACAUUCUGGUGUGGUGUCGGAUGAUACAAUCGGAACUUGUAGAGGAUGCGGUCAAAGGUUAUGCGACUCUUAGGCCAGUGUUCACCUGGAAGGUGUAAAAGUGAGCGAAGAAAAGAUUUAAAAAGUGAGAAGCAUUUUAACUGGAAAACGUUCUUGGAGAUGCAGCCUCUUGCACAUGGGGAGAGACAGGCGCUCACUCUGCCUUACUUCAGGCUGAACGACCAAUGUUUUAAGGAGCCAGGAGUCUAUAGGCACAGGGCUGCUAAUGGCCUCAUGCCUGUUAAAGCCUAAUGGGGAAAACUGUGUCUGGUAUCUGUACUGGCGACAGAUGAAGAGAGGCAGUUUUACUGGGAAAGACCUGCUCUCCCAUAGGUCUUCGGAGCCAAGAAUAUAUGCUUCUAAUGGACCAGAUGGAUCACCAGAAAAGAGGGGCUGGGAAGCACCCUAAAAGGCUUUUGCCUAAAAGGACUUUUAAAUGGGUGUUGGGACCCCAGGAAAGCAAGUCUCAUUGAGGAGUUCCCUGGUGGCUCAGUGGAUUAAGGAUAUGGUGUUGUCACUGCAUUGGCUUGGGUCACUGACUGUCUGUAACUAACUCAUAAAUAUGCCACAAGAAGGGGUCAGCUGUGAACAUCCCCUGAACCUAGUCUGUGAAUCAACUCACCAUUAUGCCCAAAGGACAACCAUGUCAGAUUACAUCAGCACUGAUAAAGAAAAACUUCUCCUGCCUUUGUUCCUCUUCAAUAUUUCGCUUCAAUCCUCAAGGAGCCAAGGCAGCCUCUGGAGGAAAAAGAGAGAAAGGCGAUUACCGACAACAAACCUAAUGAAGACCUGAUCUGAAAAAGGAAGACACUUAAACUACAAAGAAAGUUAAAUUCACGAUAAUUCCAUAGGAUUGAACUAUUAAUCACUGAACUUAGGCUGUCCAGGGAAACAGUUUUUAUUAUUGGCAAGCUAUGGAGCCAACUCGAUGUUAAAUCCUUAGAAAAGAACUAGCAUCCAGAAUAUGUCUGAAUCUGCAAUGAGCAAAGAGAUAAAAUGCCCCCUCCCUACCCCCACCACGCCACUUACAAUCUUGCUCUUUCAGUGUCUUGGUUAUACUUUUAUUGUUUGCAGGAGGAUAACUAGAGGGUACAAAGCUCACUACAACUUAAAUUCCAUCUGUUUUCUUACCCCACCCCUACUCUAUGUAAGAUUCCCCUCUAAUAUAAUUAAAAUAGCUACUAUCAAUUACUAGAGCAUUUGCUUCAUUCCACAUACUAUGCUAAGUGCUCUAUGAAAAUAAACCAAUCUUGUUAUUAACCUGCCCGAGGCAGUGGGUAUCAUAGUCUCUUAUUACAGUUUAGGAAACGGGCUAAGAUAGGGGAAGCCCUUUAACCAAUACCACAUGACUAAUGAGUGGCAGAGUCCAGGUUUCAGCGAAAAUCUAACCAACUCAAAACUUCAUCUACCAACCAUGAGCCCACUUCCUCUGUCUCAAGCAGAUGUUAAGGAGACACUUGUAAUAAAGACUUUGUUAGUCUCUAAUUAAACUAAGUCUGGGAAAGAACUAACCUUCAGCAACUCAUUCCAGCUUAAGCUCCCAUUGCUGUAAGAGUAUCCUUUGUAAAGUAGCAGAAAUCAAUUCCUGGACAUUUCUGCUCAUUGCUGUUACUUAAUUCUGCCUUAUCAACACCACAUUAAAGUAGUGUAAAUACUUGAAUACAUGAGAAUCUUUUUGCUACAAUGGCCAUAUCUUCUUUAAAAAUAUUUUUUUUCCAGUUGAACCCCCUCAGUCAUUUCUAACAUGUGUCACACUUUUAACUUGUCCUUAAAUGAUACCAGUUAAACGUAGCUUCCUUGACAAGUCUUUUCACAGUGGUACAUAGAGAGCACUUUGCUUGGUACACUGUAUUAUAGGCAAUUUAAAUGUCUAGAUGCAAUUAGACUCUAAUUGUGAAUGUUGGUUGGUUGGUUGGGUUGAUAAUUCCUCACCAGCUCCUUUUUCAAUUCAAAUUCCUUCAUCUGGGGGACCCCCCCCCCAGUUCGUUAAUGUAGCUCUAAAAUCAUUCUGAUCAUGUUCAGUCUUGACUUUGCCCCUCAAGAGAUUUGAUAUCUGUUUUCUUGUGCUGAGGGCCAUGGCCUCCACUGAGUCAUUUAAACCAUUCAUGUCUCUGCCUUCCCCUUAGUGAUCUUUUAAUUCAUCCUGAUACAGCUGAGCUUGUUUCCUUUUUGACAUUCUGCUUUAAAUAUAAUCCCACGACAUGCAAGCAGAGACGUUUCUAGACAUUUAGAAGCAGAGAGGUAGACUUCAGGUGGAAUGUUAAUGAUAGAGUCACUUUUGGUGUGUUCUUAAUUCAGAGAUAGAUUGAUUUAAAGAGAAUAUGUGAAAACAGAAAGAACAAUGAGCAGGAAGGAAGACUAAACUAGGAAAGGGUGGAUGGGGGGAGGUGCCUAAACAAUAGAGAUUAAUAAUAAUGAUUCCAGAAAAUAACUUCCGUUUACGAACUAAUUACUAUGUUCCAGACUCUGAAAAUUGCUUUACCCACAGCAUACUAUAUAAUUCUUAACACAGUGUUAAAAAGAUAAUUAUUAUUUUUCUUAUGUUACUAAGGAAACUGAGGCUUGGGGUGUUAAAUCACUUGUUACAGGUUUUAUAGGCAUUAAAUUACAGAGGUAAAGAGUUACCAUUGUGGCUCGGUGGGUUAAAAAUCCAACUAGUAUCCAUGAGGAUGCAGGUUCAAUCCCUGGCCUUUCUCAGUGGGUUAAGGAUCCGGCGUUGCCUCAAGAUGCAGUGUGGGUCAGAGAUGCUGCUUGGAUCUCAUGCGGCUCUGGCUGUGGUGCAGGCUGGCAGCUGCAGCUCUGAUUCGACCCCCAGCCCAGAAACUUCCAUAUGCCA
RNAcentral lists this long non-coding RNA (3813 nucleotides) under Sus scrofa (pig). RNAcentral's name for it is "lncRNA (ENSSSCG00030053247.1)". The record is from RNAcentral. Lineage: Eukaryota; Metazoa; Chordata; Mammalia; Artiodactyla; Suidae.